Molecule: long non-coding RNA, 1306 nt
Organism: Camellia sinensis
Lineage: Eukaryota; Viridiplantae; Streptophyta; Magnoliopsida; Ericales; Theaceae
Source: RefSeq, a predicted model, not a curated record
ACUUACUAGCCUCUUUGUCCCUCUCAUUGUCCUUCUCUUUCUCUUUCUCUUUCUCCUUAAUCAUCUUAUGAUAGCACAGUGACAAGGUUUCACUGGGGCAUUUUGUCGAACAGGUAAAGGGCACUGUGUUGUUCCUCUCUCUGUGAUGCCAGCCACCGAGCAAAACCCAGCUGCAGCCUUCCACUCCACUGUGAAUGGUGCCUAGACUGUGUGGUGGUCUCUCUCUGUGAUUUGGAUUCAGAUAUGAUGAUAUCAACACAGAAAAGUUGCGAAUGGCAGCUAGAGAGAGCGGUGUUGAGACAGACGGGUCUCAACACUAUGACGCACUCCAGAUCUUAGAUUGUUACGCAACAGAGAGUGAGGAAGACGAGAUUACGUAUUGCAGUUUCAUGGCCGACCGGCGAAAGAGAAAUCGCAGAUGAUCUGUGCCUUCCUCGUCUAUAUCAACACAAGCUUUAUGAAAUAUGUUUGACACGAACAUUUCCUCUCUCGGAUCAACGUUCAACUAUGUCCUAUUUUCUCGGCAACCAAACACAGUUGUAAGUAAACAAACACUCUGCAAAUCAAACUCAACUAGCUUUAUCUCCUUGAAUUCCAUUUCAUUAUCAAAUCCAAUAAGCAAAAGACGUCGCUGAUCCCAAGCAUCUUCUUCGGCAACCGACGAGGCACCCAUCUUCGAUCCCUUCUCUCUAGACUUCCCUUGCCUUCAACCUUCGCGGGAAAAUUCGGCAUUCGCGAGCACUCGCGUGGACUGAAAGGAAGCUCAUAUGUUCAAGGCCGAUCUUCCUGGUCUGAAGGAGGAAGUGACGGUCGAGAUCGAGGAGGGCGGUAGGGUUUUGCAGAUCAGCGUUGAGAGGAAUUUCGAGGAGGAGAAGAACGAUACUUGGCACCAUGUCGAGCACAGCUCCGGCGGGUUCACGAGGCGGUUCCGGCUGCCGGAAAAUGCGAAAAUGGAUGAGGUCAUGGCUUCAAUGGAGAACGGAGUACUUACCGUUACAGUUCCCAAGGUUGAGUGACAACAAACUUGUUGGAUAUUAUACUGCCAAUAUCCAUAUCUACUGUUGAUGAUGCAACAGGCAUGAACCACCCUCAGUUUUGAAUGUUCAGGGAGCGGAAUUGAUGAGGCAUAAGCUCAUGAGCUUCAAACUCUUGGAAAAAGUUGUAAACAUGCAGCGCUUAACACUUCCUCUAACCGGAGGGACUACAACUUUGUUCUUGCCUGUUGUUAAAUUUGCUAUCUUUGACAGCUUCUCUGCCUCAAUUUUGUUCCCCAUGUACAUGUAUAUGUAUAUAGUUGCACUUUUUA